CCAGCACCAGCACCAGCACCAGCACCAUCAAUAUUAAGCUUGUAAUGUCCUUUCAUUGGUGGAGACCAACGAAUUAGGAAUGGAGUUCUAGUCCCAAUUUGAAUGAUCUCCAAACCAAGUUUAGUUAGCGAAUCUUUGAACUGCACAUGCAUACUUCGAAUAGGUUUAAUGAUGAGAUUAAACUCCUCAUCACCUUCUGACAAAUCUAAGAAACAUUACACUGUAUCUCAUUAUAUUUGGCAUCAUUUCUGGAUAGCCAAAGUUCCCAUGUAAUCAAAGCUGGGACAACUUUAGCAAGGAAAUGGAAUUGAGAAAGUCCAUGAAUCUGAGCAUCCCAAGCCAAGAUAAUCGACUUCCAACAGAUGUAAUUGAUAAGUUUAAUACCCAAAAUUGAGC
This 396-nucleotide long non-coding RNA is filed under the name Olea europaea (common olive). RNAcentral's name for it is "long non-coding RNA (OEUR_LNC001573)". Lineage: Eukaryota; Viridiplantae; Streptophyta; Magnoliopsida; Lamiales; Oleaceae. The record is from RNAcentral.